CAUUAAGUGACUGAAAGUAAGUAAUGGUCUCUUAAACCAAUAUAUGGUAAUUUACACUUACCCUUAAUG
This 69-nucleotide transfer RNA is filed under the name Triatoma mexicana. RNAcentral describes it as "tRNA-Lys". Lineage: Eukaryota; Metazoa; Arthropoda; Insecta; Hemiptera; Reduviidae. The record is from RNAcentral.